Molecule: ribosomal RNA, 468 nt
Filed under: uncultured bacterium
Lineage: Bacteria
Description: SSU rRNA
Rfam family: Bacterial small subunit ribosomal RNA
Source: RNAcentral
AGCCUGAACGCUGGCGGCGUGGCUAAGACAUGCAAGUCGCACGGUGUAGCAAUACACAGUGGCGAACGGGUGAGUAAAGAAUCGCUAACGUACCCCGGACUCUGGGAUAGCUAUCCGAAAGGGUAGGUAAUACCAGAUGACAUAUUUCUCCUGCAUGGGAGGAAUCUCAAAGGUCCGCCGGUCUGGGAGCGGGCGAUUUCGUAUCAGCUAGUUGGUGAGGUAACGGCUCACCAAGGCGACGACGCGUAGCCGGACUGAGAGGUUGGCCGGCCACAUUGGGACUGAGACACUGCCCAGACUCCUACGGGGGGCUGCAGUAACGAAUCUUCCGCAAUGCACGAAAGUGUGACGGAGCGACGCCGCGUGUGGGAUGAAGUUCUUCGGAAUGUAAACCACUGUCAGGGGUUAGAAAGUUCUGAUCAACCCCAGAGGAAGGCACGGCUAACUCUGUGCCAGCAGCCGCGGUAA